This 27-nucleotide non-coding RNA is filed under the name Mus musculus (house mouse). Lineage: Eukaryota; Metazoa; Chordata; Mammalia; Rodentia; Muridae. The record is from RNAcentral.
UAGCAACUGGAUGGUCCUUCAGUACAU